AACUGCGAUAAGUAAUGUGAAUUGCAGAAUUCAGUGAAUCAUCGAGUCUUUGAACGCACAUUGCGCCCCCUGGCAUUCCGGGGGGCAUGCCUGUCCGAGCGUCAUUGCUGCCCUUCAAGCCCGGCUUGUGUGUUGGGUCGUCGUCCCCUCCGGGGGACGGGCCCGAAAGGCAGCGGCGGCACCGCGUCCGGUCCUCGAGCGUGUGGGGCUUUGUCACCCGCUCGAUAAGGACCGGCCGGGCGCCAGCCGGCGUCUCCAACCUUUUUUUAUCAGGUUGACCUCGGAUCAGGUAGGGAUACCCGCUGAACUUAAGC
RNAcentral lists this unclassified non-coding RNA (314 nucleotides) under plant metagenome. Its description in RNAcentral is "partial contains 5.8S ribosomal RNA, internal transcribed spacer 2, and large subunit ribosomal RNA". The stretch from base 1 to 104 matches the Rfam family "5.8S ribosomal RNA", at positions 51 to 154 of the family's 154-position model. The record is from RNAcentral.